UGGGGAAUAUUGCACAAUGGGCGCAAGCCUGAUGCAGCCAUGCCGCGUGUAUGAAGAAGGCCUUCGGGUUGUAAAGUACUUUCAGCGGGGAGGAAGGGAGUAAAGGUUAAAUAACCUUUAUUCAUUGACGUUACCCGCAGAAGAAGCACCGGCUAACUCCGUGCCAGCAGCCGCGGUAAUACGGAGGGUGCAAGCGUUAAUCGGAAUUACUGGGCGUAAAGCGCACGCAGGCGGUCUGUCAAGUCGGAUGUGAAAUCCCCGGGCUCAACCUGGGAACUGCAUUCGAAACUGGCAGGCU
RNAcentral lists this ribosomal RNA (298 nucleotides) under uncultured Enterobacteriaceae bacterium. RNAcentral's name for it is "partial 16S ribosomal RNA". It matches the Rfam family "Bacterial small subunit ribosomal RNA", at positions 355 to 642 of the family's 1533-position model. Lineage: Bacteria; Pseudomonadati; Pseudomonadota; Gammaproteobacteria; Enterobacterales; Enterobacteriaceae. The record is from RNAcentral.